UAAUUGAAGAGUUUGAUCAUGGCUCAGAUUGAACGCUGGCGGCAGGCCUAACACAUGCAAGUCGAGCGGCAGCGACAUAAACAAACCUUCGGGGGCGUCUAUGGGCGGCGAGCGGCGGACGGGUGAGUAAUGCCUGGGAAAUUGCCCUGAUGUGGGGGAUAACCAUUGGAAACGAUGGCUAAUACCGCAUAAUAGCUUCGGCUCAAAGAGGGGGACCUUCGGGCCUCUCGC
Molecule: ribosomal RNA, 231 nt
Filed under: Vibrio eleionomae
Lineage: Bacteria; Pseudomonadati; Pseudomonadota; Gammaproteobacteria; Vibrionales; Vibrionaceae
Description: Bacterial small subunit ribosomal RNA
Rfam family: Bacterial small subunit ribosomal RNA
Source: Rfam by way of RNAcentral